AGAGAAAUAGCUGGGUCAAAUGAUGGUUCCACUCCCAGUUUUUCAAGGAAUCUCCAUACUGCUUUCCAAAUUGGCUGCACCAAUUUUCAGUCCCACCAGCAGU
RNAcentral lists this microRNA precursor (103 nucleotides) under Marmota monax (woodchuck). Lineage: Eukaryota; Metazoa; Chordata; Mammalia; Rodentia; Sciuridae. The record is from RNAcentral.